This 334-nucleotide unclassified non-coding RNA is filed under the name soil metagenome. RNAcentral's name for it is "partial contains 5.8S ribosomal RNA, internal transcribed spacer 2, and large subunit ribosomal RNA". The stretch from base 1 to 120 matches the Rfam family "5.8S ribosomal RNA", at positions 35 to 154 of the family's 154-position model. The record is from RNAcentral.
GAUGAAGAACGCAGCGAAAUGCGAUAAGUAAUGUGAAUUGCAGAAUUCAGUGAAUCAUCGAAUCUUUGAACGCACAUUGCGCCCCCCAGUAUUCUGGCGGGCAUGCCUGUUCGAGCGUCAUUUCAACCAUCAAGCCCUGCUUGUGUUGGGGUCCUGCGGCUGCCCGCAGGCCCUGAAAACCAGUGGCGGGCUCGCUAGUCACACCGAGCGCAGUAGCACAUCUCGCUCAGGGCGUGCGGCGGGCUCCAGCCGUUAAAGCACCCACCUUUCGCAAGGUUGACCUCGGAUCCGGUAGGAAUACCCGCUGAACUUAAGCAUAUCAAUAAGCGGAGGA